AACUAAGCCUUAAAACCAAAUUAGUUGGGGUUGGCUAAAUUUUUUUUCCAAAAAUAGGUGAAAAUUGGAUAGUAAUUCUUAGCUACAGAAGCCGUGCUGCCUAGGAUGGCAACGAGUCAUGUACUUUUAGGUAUCCAAUCCAAUCUUCUCCUAAUGGAACAGAUUUGGUAUUGUAUAAACAGGUUUGGAUGUUUGGCAUGCAUUCAGGUUUAAGAAAUAAGGUUCAGGUUUUACAUAUUAGCUAUCAAACCCAUUUAUAUAAACA
Molecule: unclassified non-coding RNA, 265 nt
Filed under: Hevea brasiliensis (rubber tree)
Lineage: Eukaryota; Viridiplantae; Streptophyta; Magnoliopsida; Malpighiales; Euphorbiaceae
Source: RNAcentral